Molecule: ribosomal RNA, 664 nt
Filed under: uncultured Escherichia sp.
Lineage: Bacteria; Pseudomonadati; Pseudomonadota; Gammaproteobacteria; Enterobacterales; Enterobacteriaceae
Description: bacterial SSU rRNA
Rfam family: Bacterial small subunit ribosomal RNA
Source: RNAcentral
GAACGGUAACAGGAAGCAGCUUGCUGCUUCGCUGACGAGUGGCGGACGGGUGAGUAAUGUCUGGGAAGCUGCCUGAUGGAGGGGGAUAACUACUGGAAACGGUAGCUAAUACCGCAUAAUGUCGCAAGACCAAAGAGGGGGACCUUCGGGCCUCUUGCCAUCGGAUGUGCCCAGAUGGGAUUAGCUUGUUGGUGGGGUAACGGCUCACCAAGGCGACGAUCCCUAGCUGGUCUGAGAGGAUGACCAGCCACACUGGAACUGAGACACGGUCCAGACUCCUACGGGAGGCAGCAGUGGGGAAUAUUGCACAAUGGGCGCAAGCCUGAUGCAGCCAUGCCGCGUGUAUGAAGAAGGCCUUCGGGUUGUAAAGUACUUUCAGCGGGGAGGAAGGGAGUAAAGUUAAUACCUUUGCUCAUUGACGUUACCCGCAGAAGAAGCACCGGCUAACUCCGUGCCAGCAGCCGCGGUAAUACGGAGGGUGCAAGCGUUAAUCGGAAUUACUGGGCGUAAAGCGCACGCAGGUGGUUUGUUAAGUCAGAUGUGAAAUCCCCGGGCUCAACCUGGGAACUGCAUCUGAUACUGGCAAGCUUGAGUCUCGUAGAGGGGGGUAGAAUUCCAGGUGUAGCGGUGAAAUGCGUAGAGAUCUGGAGGAAUACCGGUGGCG